Non-coding RNA from Struthio camelus australis, 5827 nucleotides. NCBI's taxonomy places the organism in Eukaryota, Metazoa, Chordata, Aves, Struthioniformes, Struthionidae. The record is from RefSeq and is a predicted model, not a curated record.
ACGCUUUCCAGAAGAAGAGCCUCUCGAGCUAGCCUACUGCAGCUGUAGGCAGGGCCUCUGCGGCGGAGUACCCGGAGUGGCCAUGUCGCGAGUGUUGGGAGACCUGUAAAGACACUGGAGGCUGUGGAGCACGAGUGAAGUGUGCUGGCAUGACUGUGCCUACCUGGGAAUGGGGUGUAGGACAAAUGAGAUUUACAUGCACAUUGGGGGGAUACCGAGUAUUGGAAAAAAGACCAACUUGGCACCAAGAUGGGAUACAGAUGUUACAACUGUGAACCCACGUCAACGCUGACUGUAAACUUCAGCCAUCCUGCAAUCUUGGGGAGCCUAACAGCUCUACCCGGCUGACUUUUAAUAUGGAAAGAUAUGUUUGUGCAUGCAGAAGUUACAGAGAUCUCGGGGAAACUCCAGCUCCGUGGCCAGGACAUGAAGAGAAGAGAAACUUCAAAGACUCACAGCAACAGAAGUGCUGGAAGCGACUGGGGCGUGAGAUGUUCAUCUGCAUCUCGGGAGAUGUGAAUCCUCUUACUUAGUUUGUCCCCCCAAAACUUUCAAUUGAUUUCGAGUUACGUAAUUUCAACUUGGUUGUUCUUGCGAACCGCGGAGAAAAUACAAACUUCCAGCAACAAUGACAACAGCUUUAACCUUUGCAGAUUUUCCCAUUGGAAUGUUUGGAGGAAAGAAAAGAAACAAGCUCCUGUCAGAAAACAGGAGCCUCUAAACCUGUGACGGUCAGCCCUUCUUUGAAGCGGAUUCGCCCAGUGCUGCGUUUGGGAUGUAAAUGAUUACAGUGGCCUCUUCGAAGUCUGUCAUCACCCAAACUCCCCUCCUCCUCUCCUCUUCUUUAGGCUAAACCACCCCGCACAGACUUUAACUUCUCCAUGGACCUUGUCACCAUCGGCCUCGUGACAGACACAGUUGAGGCCUGGCUCUUUAGCCUCUGCUGUUCUUGCAAAUAGUUACUCCAGUAGCAAGCUGGCCUUGCUCUGAUCAAGCAUCUUAGGCUUCUAAUUUUCAUGUAUACCAGACUACUCCCAGGGCAAAGAGCUACUGCAGGACAUGCAGGCAUCUAAAUCUUGAUGUGAAAGGUACUAGCUGUAAACCACUGGUGGUGGGAGUAGGGUGGAGAAGAAAAAGGGAACCUGCCAAUUCACCUUACCUGGCUUCCCUUGCGUGGAAUCCAAGCUCACGAUGAGGAAGGUUUGCUGAACUCAGCAUCCUGUGAGCUGUCAAGGAAGAAAAGCUGGGAGAAAAAUGGCCCAACCAUCUCCUUGUUAAUGCGCACCGAAUUUCUAGUAAAAGCUGUGAUCUCUGCCUGAACUGUAGCGUACAGCAGAAGUACUAGAUUCAGUUAUGUGUCUUGCAAUGAGAAAUGUGGAGGAGGGCUUAUGGAUGAUGAAUGGGUCGAUCUCAUUCCUGCGUGGGAAGCUUCCAGUCUAUGCUACUUUCACCUGUCUGGAGAAAAUUGACACCCCUCCUGGUUACACAAUCAGGCCACGUGAAGACCAGCCAGACCAGGAAAUGUGCAUGUUCUUGGUAGCUGUAGGCCUGUAAGAUUGUGUAACUCAUUGGCAAAAGUGUCUGUGUAUCUAUUUGCAAUCUAUUGUUCUCAGCUGACAGGUUUAAGUGCAGAUCAUUAAUAGUAUUUAAUCACCUACCUCCUUUUAAUUUCAUGAGGAUGUAGGCAUUUAAAUACCUUUUGUCCUCAGCUAAGGUAAGUCCAUCAUUUCGCAUUUGUUGCUGGCUAAGAACAUGCACAAAGAUGUAUAGUAAUUUUUAAGCAACUGUCAAUUCAUGGUGAUGCUGAGCUCUUUGUUUUUCAACUCAGCUAGUCAAGGCAGAUAUGCUAAAGCCAGUAUUCUUUGCAUCCCAUCAGCCCAAAUGAUGAGAGAGUAGGAGGUGUCUGGAUUCAGCUGCACAAAAGAAACAAGCGAGUAGCAGAGGCCAAAAAUAGAAUUUCAAGAUAUAGCAGUGGGAUGAGUCCUGGAUUUUGCAAGCAAAGUGUUUAUUCCUCUCUUCACAAUUACUGCAUCUUUCUCCCUCCCCCUCCCCCCCCACUUUUUUUUUAAUGGCAUUUCUGGGGACAUCAGUGGAGGAACACACAGUUUGGUAGUCACAGAGAGGGUGGCAGGCUGCCAGGUCCCAUCUCCAAUUUUAUACCCUGAUAGCACUGGGCAGAUUCCCCAGAGAUGAGACAAGUACAGUGAUGCACACAUACUUGUCAGUUGGUUUAAGUUCUCAGUAAUUAUGCUGGAGCAUGACUAACAUGCUGUAGAGGAAGGUGCAAGAGUUUAAUGAACGCAUUAUUGUUGUGGUAGGAACCGCACAAACGCUGAAUUAGGGAGCGUCUCCUUGCCAAAAAGCAUGCAGCCUGAUGAGAUGCAGAACGGGAGGGCAAAGAGAGCCCCAGCUGGGUGGCAGUGAGGAGCUAAGGUCUCUGAGUCUCAGUCGAGUACUCAAUCAACGGACUCUUUUCAAGAAGGUCCAUCUAGUGCUCCUGAACAGCUACAGAUGAUAGUCUCGCCCGUAGAUAUUUCUCCAUGUGAGCUGUUACGAAUGUGAAGCAUCAGCAAUAUAUAGACACAAUUCCUUGAGGGAGCCAGUCACAUUCACCAGUCUCUCCACUGCGUUUGUCACAAAUCAAGUUAUUACAUGCUCCGUUCAUUGUUACUCCAGUGUUACUCACCAUGUUUACUGUUUCCAUCCAACUCACUGCUCCCGCAAUGUAGAACCAGUCGUGCCAGCUAACGAAUGCCAUCGAAAUGGUGAGGAAUGGACUUCUUAUGUGCUAGAUAUGUUAGGUCAUGUAAGUCCUUCCCAAGGGGGAUAAUUAGAGAUCACCACACCCUCCUUAUACAUGUUGAGCUUGACAAGGCUUGCUGGGCUGCAAACCCCCCAGUAGCACAAGUAAACAGCUUGCAGUGAAGUCUGCCGAGAGGGCUGGUGUUCAGUUGGUGCAGUGCGCCGCCCGGGGCCGAAUUCAUGGGCUGGAGAGGCCUGCCUGUGGCUUUUCACAGAGCAGGCGAGACAGCCAGCUGGGCGCUUCUCGGCAGCGCUCCGGCCAUUCCCAGGUACUUGCUGGUUACGUGUUGCAACCGACACAGGCUUGGAGCGCAACUCAUAGCGCUUUGCUAUGAAUGUUUUCUGUUAAAAAGAUCAGUCUCUCCAAAGUGAAAAUAUUUUGCCUUUUCCAUUGCUGCAGCUUCCUCCCAUUUUUCCAGUGGCAUAAACAGAAAUGGAAUAUUAUUUUGUAAUGUUAGAUUAUUCUAUGAAAGGAUAAAAAAAUGCGAAGAGAGGUAAAUAUAUCUGGCAAGACUCACUUAAAAAAAAAGAACGUCCAAUUUGGAAAGAUAUUUCUAAGAGAAUAUGAGAAAAAUUAAGAUCAGCUCUAUUUGACAAGGAAUUGUCUUAAGUGGUAAGUGGCAGAGAGGAGACCAUUGUUCUUAUUUAAACAUAGCCCCAAACCUUCAGCUUAUAAACUUUCCUGUUGAUCUCAGGCUUGUGGUUCAUGUUUCUUUUUCUUUUUUAUCUUCAAAUCUGUUCUUUUUCCCCCUUUUUUUCUCAUGCCUGGCUCCUUUCUUCAUCUCAUUUAGGAGGUCAACUUUCCUAAAUUAAUAUUAUGUCAUCUUACAUUCAGAAUCAUGGUCCUUGCAUCAAAAAAAGUUCCCAGCAUUGUCAGAGAAUUUCAGCUGCUGCUUCCUGAGCUGCAGCAUUUUAUGCAUCUUCCUCUGAAGCAUCUGGUCCAGGCCACAUGAACGCCUGGGCUGAAAGCACGUCUGUUUCUAGGUGAAACAUCUCAGAUCAUCUCUAAUCCUCAAGACAAAAAGCCCACAGCCUUUGAAAGGCAAGGGGUAUGCCUCCAGUUAAGCUCUGACCAUGUUGCCUUCAAAAUGGGAGCAGUUCCUAAUGGGAAUACUUCAUUUCUCUGUCAUUUGCUCGUAGAGCUGAACCCAAGUGUCACCUGCCCAGACUUUGCAACCAGCUCAAUCUCAAACUCCUUUUCUGAGGAGUGCAGCCCUAGUCUCUGACAAGCACGUCAGGGUGGCCAUGAGGGCUCGAACGUCUCCUGCACCCCCAGCAUGGUGAAAGGGUAGGUGGCAACCAAGGGCUCUGGGUUUCUCUGCUCCAAAGUGACAAAAGGGAGCAAGGAGCAUUCUCAGGAGGAGGGAGGGAAAAAAAAUCCUUCUGUUCCCUUUGGUUGAUUUUAUUUAAUUCUGUCCUUACAAAAAAUAAGAUAAAACCCAAGGCACAUGGAGGUAUGAAGUACACCAGGAUGUUAAAUACCCAACCUACGUCAGCACAGAACUUGCUCUUAAUCAACAAUCCACCUGAAAUACCUGGGGGCAAAGGCGGAAGCUGUGGAAACAUGUUGCAACAGACUGAAGCCAUCCUAGAGAAAAACUGCCACACAAAUAGAACGCCGGAAGAGAGACAAUUGUGUUUCUUGGUUUCAAACUUGCUAAAAGUAUUCUUUUUGAUCCCAACAUAACGCAGCAUGCCAAAAGCAGGAUGAAAAUGCUAAUUCCAAGAAAGUUCACCAUCCUAACUCCAGCGGGUUUAUUAUCCUAAUCGACUUACAACCUUCAGGUCUAAAUUAGCCUGCUUGGAAAUGUGAUCAGCACCAGUAAUUUUCCACUUUAUGACAUACUUUAUAAUAAAUAAUUUUAAAAAAUCAUAAAUAGCAAUAGUAUUAGAUCACUGGAGCUCAUGAACUACUUUUAGUUUAAAGUAUGGUGCAGAAAAGAGACAUUUUUGAUGAUACCUCCCUAAAACUCAGUCUGUGUUACUCUUUUGCCAUAAUUAAAUUAUUGCUUAUAAGAACUUUUGCUUGGUCAAAAAGAGAAAAAAAACAAUUAUAAUAAUUCCAUUUCACUGUUUUCCGUAAGCUUGUAGCCAAGUUGGCCAAUAACUAAGGCAAAAAGCAGGGGAAAAAAAAGGUAUGUAUUGUAUACUCACUUAAAACUUGGCUAGAAAUGACCUUUUAUUGUCUAAUUUUUUUUUUCCCUGCCCGACUUGGCUACUUGAGACAAACUCAUUGCCAAGUUUCUAUAGUGUGUUAUUUUCCUAUGUGUGAUGUGUUCAAAAACAUUUUAAAAAGCUGCCCUCAAAGUGUUGUACAAGCGUUUGGUAUGGGCCGAGGCGGAGCAGGCUGCGUUUGAUAGCGUUGCCGACGUAGAUGCUGGUGCUAGAACGCUCGAGAUGUUUUGCUUGCUUUUUUCCUCCUGUUCCCUGCGUCGCCCAACAUGGAAAGGUCUCCAAAUGGGCUGUGCUAACAAAUGCAGCUGAAGACAGCCAUAUGAUGUUAAUAUAAACCUCCGCUGUCAGCUUGGAGAGGCACCAGGAAACAGCCCCAGGAAUGCUUUUUGCAGCUCGUGUCUCUGCGCGGUUGCAGGCGGUGGCAUUUGUCAGGCUCAGCCAGGCGCGGGCUUGUCUGCAGCCCGCUCCGCAGGGGCAGGCCCUUUCCCGUGUGUCUGGGUCACUGUAACAUGUGUCAUGUUGUGUCUAAGUACAUCCACAACUUUUUAAUUAAAAAAAAAAAAGAAAAGGAAACGAUUCUGGUUAGAACCGAAACUGUUGGGGAGGGGGGAGCACACACAGUUCCUCAUAUAACAUUUUCUCUCAUAUAAAAUGACCUGGCCUUUCCAUAAAUGAUAGUUUUGUCAUGAUAAAAUAAGAAAUCCAGCUCUCUGUAUAUCUCGAGGGCUAUUUAUCUUGGAGUCCUUCAUUAAAACAUUACACUGGAACAUAUAUGAAGACCAGAGGCUUGGGCUUAUUCUUAUCUGGGAUCAUUUCACUUUAAAAAGGAAGAAAAAUGGUUUUAAAGUUA